AUACGUUAGUAAAGACAGAUAUAUACGUGGCGUGACAAUUUAUAGGUUUAUUUGAUACCUGAUAUAAGAUUAUAUCAUGAUUAACACAGUUGCAUCAUUAAAAUCAAUACCAUAGCAAAUGUCGUCACCUACAUCAGCGAGCUGUCACAGAUUGUUAAAUUUUUAAUCAUGCAAUUCAUAUGUCACACAGUAUCCCACGUGAGCAAUGAGCGUAGCAUAAUGAAAUAUUCACAGUGGUACUAAAUUAUCUGUUCACUAAAUUUCAUUACCAUUUUAAUUAGAUAAUAAUUUUAAUGUGUUUUGAUUGAUUAUUCACAAGUGUUAAAUAGCGGUACGUGAGGCCCCCUCUGAACACACAUAUAUGGGCCGCCCAUGGCGACCACUAACAAGGGAAACGUCGAGAGCGUGCUGGAAAUGCCAAUGGUUGAUAAAAAGAAGCAUUCCACUAUUUGAAAUAGUGUUUUUUAACAACAUACUAGAAAAGUGGUUACAAAAGCAUGCUCAUUAUAAAUUUAAAGAACCGUAGACACCACUUUUGGGUAGGAAAAUACAACCGGCAACACCGCACAGGAAAUCGUUCGAUUUUUGCUUUUGAAACAGAAUAUCAAAUAUAUGUACAUUUAUUCGUUCUCUGACAAUUUUGUCACUCAUUUGACAUUUGUGGGCCACUACAAAGCAACAAAGUAGGCUAAAAGAUGGACGACAGAUAGGGUGGGGAAACAGGUAAAUUAAAUUUUGGUAACUCUUGUGUCGGUGCGAUGGUACCUCCGACCUACUUUCGAAUAGAAAUGGAUAGAGCCUGAAACACAUUCGCGUUAGAGGAAGUAGGUCACUUGUAACCCGCCAAAGACCGAAAAUAAUACUUUUUAAAAUGAAAAUGUAUUAAGAUCUUUAAUUAUUGUAAAUAAAUAAAGACUACAAUUUUGUUCAAAACUU
Molecule: long non-coding RNA, 936 nt
Organism: Zophobas morio
Lineage: Eukaryota; Metazoa; Arthropoda; Insecta; Coleoptera; Tenebrionidae
Exons: 2
Source: RefSeq, a predicted model, not a curated record